Molecule: ribosomal RNA, 141 nt
Filed under: Drosophila guanche
Lineage: Eukaryota; Metazoa; Arthropoda; Insecta; Diptera; Drosophilidae
Description: LSU_rRNA_bacteria
Rfam family: Eukaryotic large subunit ribosomal RNA (bases 24-141)
Source: RNAcentral
UUAUAAUUUAAUAUAUGUAUAUACAACCUCAACUCAUAUGGGACUACCCCCUGAAUUUAAGCAUAUUAAUUAGGGGAGGAAAAGAAACUAACCAGGAUUUUCUUAGUAGCGGCGAGCGAAAAGAAAUCAGUUCAGCACUAA